CCCCAUCCCGCAGCACUAAAAUUAGCGGGCAGGAAAGAAGGGAAAGAUUCAACCAUAAGAAAAGGGAACCCCAAACACAGAGAGACAGAAAGGUGAGCUCAGCCCGCCCCGCUGCAGACACCACCACAGCUGUAACAAAAUCAGUUUAAUGGACACAACCAGCACUGCUGCUGCGGAAGAGGCUGGAGCUGGAUCCCAGCAGAGGAGACCGCAGGCUGCAUGUUCAGGGCCAGGAGAGGAGUGCAGACAUUCUGGCUCCCACCCUGCCAGGGAUGAGCUGUCUUGCAGAGCCCAGAAACUGCAGUGAGCAGCUUGAGAAGACAGCAAAGAAGGUGCCCCCAGCUCCCCAAAAAUCCAAGCAUGUGAGAGAGGAAGCGUUGGUGUCUUGGGAGCCUGCCCACCACCCCACUGUCACGCAGUGGCCCCCCGCAAGGCACUGACGGCAUUGAGGCGGCUGAAGGACGACAGCUCAGAGAUGUUGGCCCGGAGGAAGAGGAGGAUGACAUUGAGGUCGUUGAUGGGACAGAACUGCUCUGGAUCAUCGCUCGCCUGCUGGACCUUCCUCAUGUGCUGCACCAGGCGCACGGAGCGGUUGUAGGACUUGUCCAGCUCAUCGAUGAUGAAGAGGAGGUCAGAGUGAAGGGCAGGGGAGGCUGCAUAACGCCACAGCAGCAGAGAACUCCCGGGCGAAGGCCAGCGAGACGAG
This 706-nucleotide long non-coding RNA is filed under the name Gallus gallus (chicken). Its description in RNAcentral is "long non-coding RNA NONGGAT005209". The record is from RNAcentral. Lineage: Eukaryota; Metazoa; Chordata; Aves; Galliformes; Phasianidae.